CAACGGAAAGCGGGCCGACUCAGUGUCUUCGCAAUCCGUACUCCUAUUGACACAACGACGAUGGCUGUCUCGAAGAUGGUUCUGCUGUUGGCCGUGGUGCUAGUCGUCACCAUCUGCAUCACCUCGACAGAAGGACAGCCACGACCCUCCGGACGUAACCCCGGACGUAACGCCGCACGUAACCCCAAGCCUUCUGGUGCUGGUGGUCGUCGGCCAAAAGGGUAUCGCACUCCCCAUCCCAUCCAGCCUGGAGAUAUUCCUAUUGGCUGAAGGGAACUGGCAUCAAGAGCAUCCUGAAGAAUUUGUACUUUUUUCGGUCGCGGUGUUCAAAGGGCUCAAAGUGUUUUUUUAAUAUUUUUGAAACUUGUCGGAUAUGGACAUUUGUUUCUGGCCUCAAACCUGCGUUGCCUGCUGCAUUCUUGAAAGCGCCAGAACAAGAAGUACAGAAAUAAAAUCAUGGGGCGUUC
Ixodes scapularis (black-legged tick) is the source of this 467-nucleotide long non-coding RNA. RefSeq lists it as uncharacterized. The record is from RefSeq and is a predicted model, not a curated record. Lineage: Eukaryota; Metazoa; Arthropoda; Arachnida; Ixodida; Ixodidae. The transcript has 2 exons.